RNAcentral lists this long non-coding RNA (1480 nucleotides) under Aquilegia coerulea. RNAcentral's name for it is "long non-coding RNA (ACOE_LNC001298)". Lineage: Eukaryota; Viridiplantae; Streptophyta; Magnoliopsida; Ranunculales; Ranunculaceae. The record is from RNAcentral.
UAUGAUUAAUCCAAAAUAAAAUUCAACAUUUUGAUUUGAUUUCAAAAUUCAAAAAGAAUAAUGAUUAGAUGCAAUCUUAAUGGAACAAAAGAGGAUUGGGAGAAGAAGAAGAUCCAAUGCAUACUUGCACCGUGAUACCCAAAAACAAAUUGGCAUCGGGCUAUAUAGUGAAUGACUUUUAUCAUUGAAUAGUCGUGAACAAUGGAAAACUCCAAACUGCCAGUCCAUAUCUUCCCAAGCUUCAAAGUAAAUGCAUCUUUAAUACAAAGCAUUUGUUUCAUUGUUUAUACUCACAAUCAACAACUUUUAUCAUGGAUAUGGAUCUUUUUUCCCAAAUAUUUUGGACAUCUGCAUAGAAGUUAGAAAACAAUCACUUAAUUACUCUAGAGUAUAUCUUAGAGACGAAAAUAUCUUCUCUUGCAUUAAGCAACCAACAUUUUCGCAACAUUAUGCCUGAGCAGAUGUGGAGAUCAAUCCAUUCAAUGCUUAUAGGAAGUUCAACUGCCCACAAUCACAUGUCUCUCAGAAUCUGAAGAAAUUAUGAGUGGGUUCAGUAAACAUGAAAAACCUAUCAAGAUUAAAGAAUUCUGACUUUGUCGGGUUUCUUAAAGAUAGGGAACACAAUUCACUUUGAAUAUCUAUUUAACACAUCUAGCUAAAGCCCAAUCUUCUUAAUUUUAAUCAGUACUUAAUACUAAUAGUAUAAACUGAUUUGCGAAUGAGCCUGUGGCUCAAUGGUAGCACCCCUCUCACAAAGUGGAGAGGUCGUGGGUUCGAAACACGUCAACAGCGGAUUGUUGAUAUAAGUUUCCACACGUAAUUUAAAAAGGGGUAGGGGUCCCCACAACCUCGCUUGCCAACCAAAAAAAAAAAUAAAAAAAUAGUAUAAACUGAUUUAAGUGAUUACAACACUUCUUGGGAUAAUAACUACAUCACAACCUAACACUAACUUUAUAAAUCGAAGUGAGUCGUUACAACGACAACUUUUGGUGUAAUUUACUAUUGUCAUUUAAGAAAAAAAUAAAUUAUAGGUUGUAUUGCAUUGUCUGUAGAAAAAGUGAAAUCUACCAAUGUGUAGCCGAUUAAUUUUCUCCCAUGGUUUAAUUGCAUCUAAUGUUAUUAGGUUCCUAAACCACCAUUUCUGCAACCAUAACAAAUUCACAAUCAUAGUAAUUGGAUGUAUUCUAACAUCAUUUAAAAUAUUUUCAAGAGUAUUUUCAAAUAUGAUUAACAUCACUUCAAGUGUUUUCAAAGAUGCCGAAGUGUCUUUACUAUUCUUUAAAAGUUAAAAAUUUAAACAAACUGACCUGAGAUUCUUGCCUAUAAUCAUUCAAUCCUCACCAGUAAAGGAUGGCAUAUGAUGGGGUUGAAAGAAUUGAAAGAGUUUGGAGUUUUGCAGAUUCGAUCCUAUCGAAGUUAGAGAGAUGGUGAGUUUAAUGAUUGAGAGUGAGAGCCUGAGAGGGGAAGAAGAGAAAGAAGU